GGCGGGAAGCCAAGGAGGCCAUCCGGCCUCAUGAGCCGGAUCAUGGGGGUUCGACUCCCCCUCCCGUAACCA
RNAcentral lists this transfer RNA (72 nucleotides) under Desulfobacteraceae bacterium. RNAcentral's name for it is "tRNA-Met". It matches the Rfam family "tRNA". Rfam says of the family: Transfer RNA (tRNA) molecules are approximately 80 nucleotides in length. Their secondary structure includes four short double-helical elements and three loops (D, anti-codon, and T loops). Further hydrogen bonds mediate the characteristic L-shaped molecular structure. tRNAs have two regions of fundamental functional importance: the anti-codon, which is responsible for specific mRNA codon recognition, and the 3' end, to which the tRNAs corresponding amino acid is attached (by aminoacyl-tRNA synthetases). tRNAs cope with the degeneracy of the genetic code in two manners: having more than one tRNA (with a specific anti-codon) for a particular amino acid; and 'wobble' base-pairing, i.e. permitting non-standard base-pairing at the 3rd anti-codon position. The record is from RNAcentral. Lineage: Bacteria; Pseudomonadati; Thermodesulfobacteriota; Desulfobacteria; Desulfobacterales; Desulfobacteraceae.